Niabella sp. is the source of this 65-nucleotide regulatory RNA element. It matches the Rfam family "DUF805 RNA". The record is from Rfam. Lineage: Bacteria; Pseudomonadati; Bacteroidota; Chitinophagia; Chitinophagales; Chitinophagaceae.
AUCAGGUGGAGCAGCAACCACUGUAAAAACGGGCGAAACCGAAAAGCCAUACGAGUAGGAAGCAA